GGAAAUGUGCCCGAAAGACAAGGAUCUCCUUGAUAGGGAGACAAAUAGAGGUUCAAACCCCCUCAUUUCCU
RNAcentral lists this transfer RNA (71 nucleotides) under Cardioglossa leucomystax (silver long-fingered frog). RNAcentral's name for it is "tRNA-Ile". It matches the Rfam family "tRNA". Rfam says of the family: Transfer RNA (tRNA) molecules are approximately 80 nucleotides in length. Their secondary structure includes four short double-helical elements and three loops (D, anti-codon, and T loops). The record is from RNAcentral. Lineage: Eukaryota; Metazoa; Chordata; Amphibia; Anura; Arthroleptidae.